GGGGAUAUAGCUUAGUGGUAAAGUAUGUGCCUAUCACGCACAAGGUCCUGGUUUUCAUCCCCA
This 63-nucleotide transfer RNA is filed under the name Urocitellus parryii (Arctic ground squirrel). Its description in RNAcentral is "Spermophilus parryii (Arctic ground squirrel) tRNA". It matches the Rfam family "tRNA", at positions 1 to 62 of the family's 71-position model. Rfam says of the family: Transfer RNA (tRNA) molecules are approximately 80 nucleotides in length. The record is from Rfam by way of RNAcentral. Lineage: Eukaryota; Metazoa; Chordata; Mammalia; Rodentia; Sciuridae. RNAcentral also lists the same sequence under 1 other name.